RNAcentral lists this transfer RNA (73 nucleotides) under Anaerolineae bacterium. RNAcentral's name for it is "tRNA-Asp". It matches the Rfam family "tRNA". From Rfam's summary of the family: Transfer RNA (tRNA) molecules are approximately 80 nucleotides in length. Lineage: Bacteria; Bacillati; Chloroflexota; Anaerolineae. The record is from RNAcentral. RNAcentral also lists the same sequence under 1 other name.
GGAGCUGUGGUGUAGCGGUUAACACACUGCCCUGUCAAGGCAGAGACCGCGGGUUCGAAACCCGUCAGCUCCG